UUGACCUCAAAUCGGGUGAGACUACCCGCUGAACUUAAGCAUAUCAAUAAGCGGAGGAAAAGAAACUAACAAGGAUUCCCCUAGUAACUGCGAGUGAAGCGGGAAAAGCUCAAAUUUAAAAUCUGGUGGUCUUUGGCCAUCCGAGUUGUAAUUUAGAGAAGCGUCUUCCGCGCUGGACCGUGCACAAGUCUCCUGGAAUGGAGCGUCAUAGAGGGUGAGAAUCCCGUCUUUGGCAUGGACACACCAGGGCUUUUGUGAUGCGCUCUCGAAGAGUCGAGUUGUUUGGGAAUGCAGCUCAAAAUGGGUGGUGAACUCCAUCUAAAGCUAAAUAUUGGCGAGAGACCGAUAGCGAACAAGUACCGUGAGGGAAAGAUGAAAAGCACUUUGGAAAGAGAGUGAAACAGUACGUGAAAUUGUUGAAAGGGAAACGCUUGAAGUCAGUCACGUCGACCGAGACUCAACCUUGCCUCGGCUUGGUGUACUUCUCGGCUGACGGGUCAGCAUCAAUUUUGCCCCUUGGAUAAUGACGAGGGAAAUGUGACACCUUUAUGGUGUGUUAUAGUCUCUCGUCGCAUGC
RNAcentral lists this ribosomal RNA (577 nucleotides) under Russula xerampelina. RNAcentral's name for it is "eukaryotic LSU rRNA". It matches the Rfam family "Eukaryotic large subunit ribosomal RNA", at positions 1 to 575 of the family's 3401-position model. The record is from RNAcentral. RNAcentral also lists the same sequence under 1 other name. Lineage: Eukaryota; Fungi; Basidiomycota; Agaricomycetes; Russulales; Russulaceae.